Molecule: ribosomal RNA, 1340 nt
Filed under: uncultured bacterium
Lineage: Bacteria
Description: partial 16S ribosomal RNA
Rfam family: Bacterial small subunit ribosomal RNA
Source: RNAcentral
GCCUGCCUAUGCAUGCAAGUCGAACGAGGGGGGACUUCCGUCCUGAGUAAGGUGGCGCAGGGAUGAAUAACUGGUGGGCCACCUGCCUCUAUUAUUGGGAUAACCUGUCGAACGACGAGCUAAUACCAGAUAAGACCACCUCUUCCUCAAAAGCAGAGGCCAAGUGUCCCCUCUAUUUAUAAUCUAUCUUUUAGAGAUGGGCCUGCACCCCUUUAUCUAUUUGGGGGGGUAACGGCCUACCAGGGCAAAUAUGGUUAUCUGGUCUGAGAAGAUGAUCCCCCACACUGGAACUGACACACGGUCCACACUCCUACGGGAGGCAGCUGUGGGGAAUAUUGCGCAGUGGGCGAAAGCCUGACACAACAACCCCGCGUGAGUGAUAAACGCCUUCGGGUCAUAAAGCUCUCUCGGAGGGAACGAAUGUUUUCGAGGUUAACAGCCUUGAAAAGUGACUGUACCUUCAAAGGAAGCACCGGCUAACUCUGUGCCAGCACCCGCGGUAAUACAGAGGGUGCAAGCGUUGUUCAGAAUCAGUGGGCGUAAAGGGCGUGUACGCGGUUUGUUAAGUCGUGUGUGAUAUCUCUCGGCUUAACCGGGAGAACGACGCAAGACACUGGCAAUCUAGAGUACCAAAGAGGGGGGGUGGAAUUCCCGGUGUAGCGGAGAAAUGCAUAUAUCUCGAGGAAGAACACCUGUGGCGAACGCGGCCCCCUGGUUAGGAUACUGACUCUGAGACGCGAGAGCGUGUGGAGCAAACAGGAUUGAUACCCCGGUAGUCCACGCUGUAAACGAUGGGCACUAGGUGUCUGGGGUAUUGACCCCCUGGGUGCGGCAGCUAACGCAUUAAGUGUCCCGCGCGGGGAGUACGGUCGCAAGAUUAAAACUCAAAGGAAUUGACGGGGGCCCGCACAAGCGGUGGAGCAUGUGGUUCAAUUUGACGCAACGCGAAGAACCUCACCUGGGCUAGACAACAGCGGACCGUGUUAGAAAUAGGAUUUUUCCUUUGGGGACCGCUGGUUCAGGUGUUGCAUGGCGGUGUUCAGCUCGUGCCCUGAGGUGUUGGGUUAAGUCCCGCAACGAGAGCAACCCUCUUAUUUAGUUGCCACCAUUCAGUUGGGCACUCUAAGUAGACAGCCGGGGUUAAGCCGGAGGAAGGUGGGGAGGAGGUCAAGUCUUCAUGGCCCUUAUGUCCAGGGCCACACACAUGCUACAAUGGGGGGUACAAAGGGUCGCAAACCCGUGAGGGGGAGCCAAUCCCAAAAAGCCGCUCUCAGUUCGGAGGGGAGUAUUCAACUAGACUCCACGAAGUAGAAUCGUUAGUAAUCGCGGAUCAGCAAGCA